GAUGAAGAACGCAGCGAAAUGCGAUAAGUAAUGUGAAUUGCAGAAUCCAGUGAAUCAUCGAAUCUUUGAACGCACAUUGCGCCCGCCAGUAUUCUGGCGGGCAUGCCUGUUCGAGCGUCAUUACAACCCUCAGGCCCCCGGGCCUGGCGUUGGGGAUCGGCGGAGCCCCCCGUGGGCACACGCCGUCCCCCAAAUGCAGUGGCGGUCCCGCCGCAGCUUCCAUCGCGUAGUAGCUAACACCUCGCGACUGGAGAGCGGCGCGGCCACGCCGUAAAACACCCAACUCUUCUGAAGUUGACCUCGAAUCAGGUAGGAAUACCCGCUGAACUUAAGCAUAUCAAUAAGCGGAGGA
This 352-nucleotide unclassified non-coding RNA is filed under the name soil metagenome. Its description in RNAcentral is "partial contains 5.8S ribosomal RNA, internal transcribed spacer 2, and large subunit ribosomal RNA". The stretch from base 1 to 120 matches the Rfam family "5.8S ribosomal RNA", at positions 35 to 154 of the family's 154-position model. The record is from RNAcentral.